CACACGCGCGCGCGUGCACGCGCCCCGAAGUGGGCGGAGGGCGCACGCGCACGGUCCCCUCCCUUCCCCCGCAGGGAGCGCGCGCCCCUUCCCACCCCCCUCCCCUCCCCUCAGACGGCGCGCGCUUCCCGCCGCGCGCGGUCCCACGGGGCGCGCGCCACUCCCGUCCCGGGCGCGCUCCGGUGGCGCGGAGGAGACGCCGCCCGCGAGGACGGGCCCGAGCAGCCCCCGCGGCCUCUCCUCACCUCCGUGCCCGCAGACCUGGAAAACCAGAUUUGCCAGGCCCGGAGGAUUUCACGUCGGAGAGAUAAAGGCAAUGUCAGAGAUGUGAGCAGUGGUCAGAGAGCUCGGGAGGACGCUAGAUUUCAGGAGAGAGGAAGAGGGAGAACACGGCACAUAAAAUUCCAAAGGGGGGAAUAGGUCAAGAACUGUCAAUCAUUCUAGCCUCCAUUCCCAGAAAAGUAGUGAAGCAGAUGAUCACACAUCUUUAAGUACAUGGUAGCUAAUGAAGUGAUAAGCUACAGCCAAGAUGGAUUUGUCAAGAAAAUCACAUCAAGCCACGCUCAUCCCAUGCUGUGACAGUGUAACAGGCCCUGGAUAUGAGUAGCCCUCGAUCUGUUAUGGCUUGACUUGAGUAAGGUUUUUGACACUAUCUCAGAGAACUCUUAACUGAGCAACCAAAAGACAUAACAUACUAAAAUGACUGCAGUGGUACAAAAUUACAUCAGCAAUGCUUCCCUCUGACAAAUAGUGGGAACAGCAAAUUCCCUGGAGGUGGGCAUGUCCUGAGUUUGGUACCAAGUCUAAUUAUAUGACUGGCAGAGUACAGUUUACAUGGAUUGGAUUUGCCAGCAAUGCCAAAUGGCAGAGCUGGAAGUACAUUGCAGUGCAAGAAAAAUUCAAAAUACUCUUGAAAAAGUGGUUGUAGAAAUAGGAUGCAAUUGAAUAAAUACAAGUGCAAACUUCAACAUUUAAGCAGGAAAAUAACUGCACAAUUGCAAGACUGGGAACACAUGAAUAGACACUGGAUUUACAGAAAAGGGGUUGGGGAUCAGAGUAAAUCACAAACUGAACACGCAUCAACAAUGUCACACUGUUGUGAAAAAAGCUGCAGAACAGAGAGAUGUGUAAACAGAACUGUCAUAUCUAGGACAUAUAAAGAAUUUCUCAUAUUUGAUACUGGUAAAGGCUUAUCCCUAUGUUCAGAUUUGGUCUCUGCAUUUCAAGAAAAAUUUCUUUCAAAAAAGUCCAAUAGAACACAGUACAAGGAAGGAGGGAAAAAUCAACAUUUUUAAAAGAUGUGACCCGAAUUGAAAAGAGGGAUGUGUCUAGUGAAUAAAAGACUAUGGGAGAAAAAUACAGUUUCCACUGAGUCCAUUGAAGACAGGGCAAAACUUAACAGUUUCAAACUGUACUGAAAGAAAUUUCGGUUAGACAGUCAUGGAUAAAUAAAACUGGCAUAUAUUCUUUAUAGGGUUCUGGAAAUGUUAUUAGCAUCUUUUUUAAAAGAUAAGAAAAAUUUACAUAAGAAAAAUUUAGAAGCAUUUGACUUUGCUGUGAAGUAAUGGAGACAGACUAGGUAAUAAUUGUUUUCAGCAUAAUUUCCUGUAACUAGUUACUAUCCAGAUAUCUGUUCUGAUCCUAUUUUUUUUUCUGAUAAAAGUGAAUCCCAGAGACAUUUCAACAUCUAAUGUGUUGUUGUGAUCUUAUGCACAGGUGUAGAUAUCCCCUUUGGGAGUCUUUGUCAUGUUACAUUGAGUAUAGCUGUGUGCCAACAUAUGUCACAUGCUCAGCUAAUUUGCUAAUUUAUAAACUUUAUAUAUCACAAUAAAUUCCACAUUUAAAAAUAAUGUGUUUGUUAGUGCUCACAUAACCAGUGUGUAUUGAGGCUUUUGCUUUUAUUUGCUUUUUUUUCAUGGUACCAGAGACCAAUUUUCCCCAGAAUCCAUUAAAUUCGGGGGGUUCUCUGGAGCUUGCCAGUUAGGAGAAAGCAGUGUGAAUGGUUUAUGUUGUGGGACUGAGACCUACCAAACUCAACUCAUUAGAGAUGACUAAAAGGCCAUUAAAUAGGCCAGUUUUUAAUCUCCACUGAGUUAGACUGAAUUCAAACUGAUAGCCCACAGGCAAAAGGCUAUGAAUUUCAUUAACAGUACCCUAAAGCACUCAGUCCCCUAAUGAGUGCUAAUAUUAUUCUUCUGAGAGUUAAGCUUGUUUUCUGAAAAUAUACAUUUAUAAAAUCGAGUUCUGAUAUUUUGGAGCAUGUAUGGACAGUUUUUCCACUGCUUUUUAAACACAAGGAACAUGAUCAUCUUGUGCAAUCCACAGACUUCUUGUAAGAUUCUCAGUCAUAUGUGCUCCGUGCUAACUAAAGUACAAACAAUAAAAACAUGAAAAAGCAAAUAUUAAUACUGCCCCAAUGCUUCUUGCUAAAUAUCAUAUAUUUUAUUGUAUGUGAUCAUUUGAAGGUCAUCACACUUAUUCAAGUAUAUUUUGUCCCCUAGCAGAUAACUUUUAAGAAACAGCAAUUCUCACUGCAAUUCUGUAAUUAAUACUUAAAGGAAAACACCAAAUUCCAUAAAAGCAUUAACUUCUAGAAAAUGGAGUGUUUUAUUAUACUUCAUAUCUAUUUGUGAAGAGGUAAAAUGCUUAGCAUAAGGAAAUCUGAACUUUAGUUCUAAUGCUGCCAAAUCCCACAAUUUAAGAGUUUAAAGGUAUCUAGCAAUCUUUUUAAUCUCUCAAUUUAGCACUUGAACUAGAAGGCCCAAUUCCAUUAGCAGUAGUGGACUCUAAAAAAUACUUAUGAUUCACACAAUCUGUGGAUCAAAAGAAAAAUCCACAUUUGGCAUGAAUGGAGAACCUAACUGCAGUAUUUCAUCAAAAUGGCAGUGUGGGAAAAGAUUAUGUCCAGUGGUGUCAGAAGUCCUGUUUCAAUCUCUAAUUCUACUUCUAUUGCCACUUAUAAUAUAUGAAAAGUAGUAGAUGAUCUUAAAGGUUGCAUGUUGGAUUAAGAAGACCUGAGAAAUAUACACAAAAUGACAGAAAAUUGGGAUUGCAUGAGUGCAUGAAGUAGAAAUUUUAGGACCAGCCUCCAGUGAGACACUCUAAGAUCAGUGAAAGAACGUGUGUGGCCGGUAAAGAACCACACAAUAGGAUUCUUGAAAAUCAAGCCAGAUACUGCACAGGUGGUUUUUUGCUUGCAGGAAUUCUGGCUGUGUCCUGUAUUAUUUCUCCACCAAUGCAGACGAGGCCUAAUAAUGGUUUUAAAACAGCAUUUGAAAAACCUCUUAAGAUAAGGUUGCUACCUAGUUCCUUCUGGUCUUCAACAAGGCUAGAAAAUGGUUAAACCAAGGCAGGAUUUUUCAAGUUAGCAGCAAAAUAUGAUUAACUGAAACCAAUUUAGAAACUGUUUCUUCAUAUAAACAUUUUUGUAGCUGGAGUUGCAGAGGGAGGGUUGGAGCAGGUCUAAGCUGAAGCACUUGGAAUGAAAGAAGACUGCAAAUGCAGCCUUGUAAUACACAGGAAAAUCCAGAAUGCUCAGAGGCAAAAACUUUUUAGUUAUAAUUCCUUACAUUUAUAUAGCACCUUUUAUUCUCUAGAACCCCAAGCACUUCAUUAACUCUAUGCAAAAAGCUUCACAAUGGAAAUAUAGCCACUAUAUGCAUCAUUCUUUGAAAAUUUCAUUUUCAGUUGACUCAUUUCUUUCAAUAAUAACAUAUUCUGCUUAUCCUGUCUACAGCAACCAAAACAACAACAGAUAAAAUACCAAACUACAGUUUUCACUUGUAGAACAAUUUAUGCCUGUAUGGUUUACAAAAUAGAAAUGUACUCAUGUAAUGGAUACAUUGCAUUUAGUCCAUCCAUUUUCAUUCUCCAUUUAUUAUUUUGAUCUCAUCUUUAUAUCGUAGCACUUGGUAGACAAUUUUGUCUUCCAUAAGAUUUUCAAAAUUGCAAUGAUUCUUGAUAUCUGAAUUUCAGACAAAAAUGGGCUUUAUAGGAAAAAGUAGCAUCUUUUAUUAAAUUCGCUACUAUAAAUUGGAAAAGCAGAGAAGCUUUUGAGUACCUAAGAUAUAAUGCUGGGGGGAUUUUUAAGCUAAGAUGGUCGUAUAAAUAAAAAUAAUCCCUUAUCCUUACUUAUAAUCCCUUAUCUUUACCUAUAAAGUUUGUCUUGUCUUUGCCUUUAAAGUAUCAUAACUACAAUAACAAGCACCCAGAAACAUAAUGUGAAAGAUAUCUGUGUGUUCUUGCUCAACUUGCCACAGAGUUUUUCUUUUCACCCUACAGUGAUGUUUCUGGUUUCUUGGCCUUUCUUAAAAUGACAUAGUACUGAUUUCACUAAGAUCAACAAAUUUAGGAACUCAAUGUACUGGUUGUUUCAACAAACAGUAAUCAACAUUAUUUCCAUUGAAAUUUUAGAAGAAUUAAUAACAGAAUUAAUUGGACCAGUUUGAUUUAUUUCAACAUGGUGAAAACUGGAAGAGGGAAAAUAAUUUUCCCAACUUUUUUUUUUGCUGUUUGAGCUGUUGAUUCAUGUUUUGUUGGCUUGCUUAUUUCACAGGUUCUUUUGAAAUACAGUUGUCAACGUUAAUUAAA
Molecule: long non-coding RNA, 4590 nt
Organism: Pseudopipra pipra
Lineage: Eukaryota; Metazoa; Chordata; Aves; Passeriformes; Pipridae
Exons: 2
Source: RefSeq, a predicted model, not a curated record